Chelonia mydas (Green sea turtle) is the source of this 147-nucleotide long non-coding RNA. RefSeq lists it as uncharacterized. The record is from RefSeq and is a predicted model, not a curated record. Lineage: Eukaryota; Metazoa; Chordata; Testudines; Cheloniidae. The transcript is spliced from 3 exons.
UUCCUAUCUCUUGGAACCUGCCUUACAAAGCAAAGUCUCGCCAAGUUGGCAAGGAAAAGGGCAAAUACAAGGAAGAAACCAUUGAAAAGAUGCAAGAAUAGAAUGGUCUCCUGUGUGUCACCCAUUAAAAGAACUGCUACAAUGAAA